UACGAAGGGUGCAAACGUUGCUCGGAAUCAUUGGGCGUAAAGCGCACGUAGGCGGCUCCACAAGUCGGAUGUGAAAUCCCUGGGCUCAACCGAGGAAGUGCAUCCGAAACUGCGGAGCUUGAGUAUGGAAGAGGGUCGCGGAAUUCCCGGUGUAGAGGUGAAAUUCGUAGAUAUCGGGAGGAACACCAGUGGCGAAGGCGGCGACCUGGGCCAAUACUGACGCUGAGGUGCGAAAGCGUGGGGAGCAAACAGG
RNAcentral lists this ribosomal RNA (253 nucleotides) under uncultured bacterium. RNAcentral describes it as "partial 16S ribosomal RNA". It matches the Rfam family "Bacterial small subunit ribosomal RNA", at positions 524 to 776 of the family's 1533-position model. The record is from RNAcentral.